Numida meleagris (helmeted guineafowl) is the source of this 8246-nucleotide long non-coding RNA. RefSeq lists it as uncharacterized. NCBI's taxonomy places the organism in Eukaryota, Metazoa, Chordata, Aves, Galliformes, Numididae. The transcript is spliced from 2 exons. The record is from RefSeq and is a predicted model, not a curated record.
UCUUAGAAUCUUACUAUUUUUCAAGCCUGGUCCAAAGGUGUCCAGGCUGGUGAGCAGAGGGAAAUGCUGCUUGGGAUGCCUGGCUGCAGAGCUGCCUGAAAUAUCCCAGGGAAGUGCGGCAGAGGAGCGUUUUUACCUGUAAACAGGGGAGCUGAGCGAGCCUGGCACAUCUCAAAGCAAAUGAUGGACAAACGCUGCAGGGCAUGCUGAGGAAAAUAAAGCGCUUCCCCUUUAUCCCAAAUCUGCUCGUCUGGGGACCAUUCUGGGAGCUGAGGCUCUCGGAGCCUUUUCUUCUCUUUGCUCUUGUUCUCUUUAUUUCAGAGAGCUAACCCCAAGUAUCUGAGCGCUCUGUGACUCUGGCUUCAGGCCUGACUCAGGGGUGGGUGCAGGGUCAGUCUCUUUUUGGACUUUUUUUGGAGGGGUGGGACAUUGUAGCUAGCUUUUCUCUAAGCUGGAGCCUUGCUCCGUAGCAAUAGUGGUAAGACAAGGGGGAAUGGUUUUAAACUAAAGGAAGGGAGAUUUAGAUUAGAUGUUGUGGGGAAGUUGUUUACUGAGUAGACAGUGAGGCCCUGGCACAGGCUGCCCAGAGAGGCUGUGGAUGCCCCAUCCCUGGAGGUGUUCGAGGCCAGGCUGGACGGGGCCCUGGGCAGCCUGAUCUAGUACUGGAUCCAGCAGUUGGCAACCCUGCCUGUGGCACAGGGGUUGGAACUUGAUGAUCCUUGAGGUCCCUUCCAACCCAAGCCGUGCUAUGAUUCUAUGACAUCCCAUGCUCUCAAUGAGGACUGAGGGCAGUGCGAUAGAAUAGGAAACCAUCCCGCCGUGUUUUGCAACAGGGAAAAGGUUUUUCCCAGGUCCUUCUCAGUUCUGUAUGUGUCAGGAAAGCUUAGGACAGCUUCUGCUCUUUAUUUGGUUUUGUGAGAUCUUGGCUGAGCAAACUCCAUUAACCCUUUUGGGUCUCCCCUUGCUGCCAGCCACGGGGAAGACCCAGCUCCAGGCGCUUCCACUUGCGCACCACACAGAGAAGCAGAGCAAGAGGCCGGGUGCCGCGGGAGCGAUGCUCCACACAUGCCAAAGCCAUUAAUUAAAUUAGAGGUCUCCGAAGGCGGCCGCAGCAGCAGCUGGGCCAUCAGUCAUCGCGCCCCAGGCUGACACACAAGCCCCGGUGCAGGCAGGGAAAUGGUGGUUUCUAUUUAAAGUUGGCUGGGGCCCAGCCCUUGGCCCGUGCCGGGGUCCCCUGGCAGCACGGAGCCCUGCGGUUCAUUACGUAGCGCACGGGGAGAGCUGCGGCAGCCCUGGCAUGGCACACUAUGAAUGACUUGAUGCUCUCGGCAGGGCAGGGCUGGCCGGCGGGGAGCUCCCUGCCUGCACGGAGCUGCGGCUCACAGACGGUUAAUCAAGUGAGGAGGGCUGAGGGAAGUCACUGCACCCUUGGCAAAUAGCAAUCCAGACACAAGAGCAAAUAAUUUGUGUCAGCGUGACAACAGAAAAUGGAAUGUAAACUUGCUAAACAGCCAACAGAUACCAGCUUUUAUACGUCUGUUUGUCUCAGCCGGGCGCCUUUACAUUUGGGAUCUACUUAUUCCACCAAGGGCAUCGUGUUUUUCUUCCCCCUCUCUCCCUAAUGUUAACAGGGAGCAGAAGGCUUGCCAUAUAAAACCCAGGGCCAGCUCCUGCAGUGGGGCCGUGCCCAUCCCUUGGCUCGCUGACACUGGGCAGUUUUGUGCCUGCAAGAAGUGGCGCGUGUGUAGAUGACCUGCAAAGAGAAAAUUGUCAGAUGAAUUAUUUGUACUGAGUAAUUUGACCGGCUCUCCUUGGAAGCCUAAUGAAUAGGUUGUUUUCUGCAGCAGCUGCUGUUCAGGCUCUGGGGCGCAAGGCCACGUGGACUGGACGUUCAAAGGGAAUUACUGUGCUGGGGUUUUUCAAGUAACCCUUCAAAAAUUCAAACUGGAGCGCUCUAUCAGUCGACGGGGAGGAAAGAUGGAGCGGGGAAGGCUGAAGCAGGUGGGGAAAUCUUGUGAAGCCCUGAAAGCCUGCUGCUGAAAGGGUUCUGGUGUGAAGAUGCAUCCCUGGGGCUGGAAGGGACCCAGCUCAGAGGUCUCAGCUGCUUUCCCUGUACCUGUUGCAAAAGGGAUAUCAUCCAUGGGGGCUCCCCGUUAGCGGCCCAGUGCCACUGUGCCCUCACAUUGUGCGCAUGGAAUUUGGAGUUAUGGGGUUACGUCCAGGGGAACGUGGAUUUGGGGGUUAUGGUGCCAGGCUGCUGUCUGCUAACCACCACCCUGCCACCAAGGCGCCGAGCCCAGCACCACCUGGCAGAUGUUACCAGCACCGGGAUGGAAACGUGUGUGGAUCUAAUGAUCAUCUCCCCGAAAAUGAGGGCCUGCAUAUUAAAGCAAUAUUUGCAGAUUAUAAUUACCAUUAACGUUGGCACGUACUCACAGUAAGAACAGUGUCAAAAACAGGUUUUAACAGCAGGUGGCUGUCACAUCAGUCAAGUUUUUUUGUUUUAUUUUGUUUUCUGCACAUUUGGGCUGAUUCAGCGAGGAAGCAAUUUUUUGCCAUACCUUUUAUUGCGUGGUCUUUGCAUGGUGCCCUUUUUUAUCAGGGCUGAUUAAGAUUCCUGUUUCUUUCCUCCAGAAGAGUUCUAUUUACAUCCAAUACAAGAUCAGUGGGCUAACAAUUAAGGCAGUAGUGUGCUGCUAUUUCAGGUCUGUCGCCUGUUUAUUCGCCACAGCUGUCUGUGCAUGUGGGCUGCAUGAUACAGAGGUUGCCAUGGUUAAAAACGCUGUGUACUGUGCUCGGUAAAUAGUUGCACAACUGGCUGUGUAAAUGCCAGGUAGCACAUUAGGGUUUCUCUCGGGCAGUUUUGCUCAGGCACAAGCCUUCUCCCCAGUUCUGCACCUGCACUGAUUUGGUUUGCUUGCUCCCACCCAUAUGGAGUGGGACAAGGAAGGAAUGUGCCGCCGGAAAAGGACUCGCUUUGUGUUUGGCCUCGAGGGAUGAGGAUGGAGGGGAUGUGCAGGUCUUCACAGGCAUGAAAGGCCACCGCCAGGAAGCUGGAAGGAACCUCCUCCAUCGCUGGUGCGUGGGAGGGGGCUGUGGUCUUCAGUCGCUGUGAGGAAGAAUCCAGUUAGGUGCCAAGGAGUGACUUUGUAAUGGUAAUGGUGGCAAGGCGACCGACAGCCUGUGGAGGCUGUCAGACCUCAGCUGCUGAGGAUCUCUAAGAGCAGAUUGCAUCUCUCUUCGGCAGGAGUGAUAUACUGUGACUAAUGCAACCUUAAAUCAAGGAAACGGGCCGGAUGACCUCUCGAAGUGCUUCAUAGUCCAUAACUUUAUUUAUGCUGUUAAUAUUUGGAGGCAGAGCCUGAUUAAACUGCGGAAGCUGGCAGAGCUGUGCGGGGAGUGGCUUGCUGCGCAGGGGCAUGUGGCCACAGAGCCUGGGGGGGCAGGAUGCUGGCCUCCCGAAGCCAUACCAGAGGGCAUCCUCUGGCCCGUGCCCCUUUGGCUGCAUCAGGGCAGGAGAUGCUGGCACCAAGCACACCCACUCUUUGUUUCCCACACUCCAGCCCAAGGAUUUAUUUUAAAUAACAGCAGUAGUAAAUUAAAAAUAUGUGUUUGCAUGUGGGUGGGUUUUUUUUUUUUCCCUCCCAUUCCAAACAGCUCAUGCUCACAUUUCCUGGAGCGCCUUGUUUGGUUCUGCAGAUGUAAAGGGGGCCCAUGGGGUCAGGCAGUGCAGGUUUUCCAUUUUUCACAUCGCUGCACCCACAGACAGACAGAAUUCGGUAUCAUUCGCAUGGUACAAGGGAAAAGCCUUCCUAGUCAUUUUGCUUUUAACACCGUAUAUUUUUCUUGCGGUAACACUGAGGAAAAGAAAAGCCCUUUUCUACUGUGAAAGGCUGCUGUAGGCCCAGGUGCUGCCGCAGGUUGGGAAUAAACAUGCUUCCCAGCAAUGUGGUUUUCUUUAAAAUGGGAACUGUGAGAGGUGAAAGGAACCUGUAAUGGUAGCAGGCUGCAAGAUGGAUUAGCAGAUACGAGGCCGCUGGAAAUGGAAAGGGCUUGUCUCUCGCAGGGGCCUGGGCAUGCUGAUCUGCCACACGAGGGCUUGCAGAAUAACAGCUAUGAGGUGUAUGAUAAAUUAAUAGCAUAGAUUUAAGUGCUGAAGGAGGGAAAAAGAUAAUUGAGAUAUUUGGGUCACCUUUAUUUACCUAAGAUGAAAAAAACGAUGGCAGAUUUGUCAGGAAAUUAGCACAAAAUAGAGGAAGAGAAGUCGAUACAUGUGAUGGCUUCCCAAAUUCUCUCUGCAGUCUCCGCAGUUUAACCAUGGUUUCCCUAAAGGAGAACCUGCCCUGUUCACACAGCUUCACCAGGCUGACUUCACGUGCAGCCUCCUUCCCUUCCAAAUGAUCACUCACAGCUGCAAAUGAAAGCACAAGCCAGGGUAGGAAUUGUUACCCAUACAUAGGCAAUGAGGACGAUAUUGCUGUGGGGCAAUGGUCCUUGUGCUCAGUGAGCGUGGUGUGAGAGGUUGUGGACAGAGCUGGGUGAGCUUUGAGGGUUGGAGAGAGCUGGGCAGCCCGCAGCUGGCUUUUCCACCCUUCCCAUAUAGCAAGAGAGUCGGCAUGCCAUUAAUUAUACAGACUUCACGUCAGCUCUGUGCGGUGUUGUCUUCGUAGCAAAACAAAAGUACAAAGGGGCUGCUCUUUUUAUUAUUAUUUAUGACUAUUCCAGAGUUGUAUUGCUAGCCAGCAUCAGGCUGGCCCAGUGGCCCUGACCGCAGAUGGGUUUUGGGUGCAAUUCAGCCCCUGGAGAUCAUGGUCUGGAAAGCCAAGCAGCUGGGGACAAAGGAGGGACAGAGGGGACAGUGCCAGCAAUCAGCUUGUGGUGUGAAUGCAGAGAACAAGCUGUGCUGAUCCAGUGGGACAGCUGACAAACCAGGUGAGCUCCCUGCCCAAGGAGCAGCAGCUCCGCUCUUAACACCAGCUAUGCCAAGCAGCUUACCAGCAGUUCAGCCCGGAAUGUGUUUGCAUGGCUUGUCAGAUAAUUUGGAGAGCCGGACAUAUUCAUGGAAAUUGUGAUCUCUUUCAGGACAAUGCACAUGCAGGAAAAAAGCUCUGUUAUUAACCAUUUUAUUUCUGGGGCACCUUGCCUGGCUGCUCGAGCAAGGAGGAGAGUGCUGCAAGCAGGGGAGAGCCCUGGGGACCCGCUGCCCCACAAAGGUGGAUCCAGGAGGAGCUGGUGGCAGUCUACCUGCAGGUGGGACACUGUCCACGCUGCGCACCAGCCUGGGCAAAGCAGGUGGCUGCCAGGGAAGUCGGCUUUGAACCAGCAACUGCAAGGAGAGUUUGCACGAUCCAGAGUCACGGCUGUGGCUGUGUCACCCCACAGAGCCCAUCUCACCAGGCUCACCGGGCUUCUGCUGCUUUGGUGGCUUUCGCAGUGACCUCCAGAUCGCACAGAGGAACAGCACGGCUCCCAGCAUUUUCCGCUGGCAUGUUGCAGCAGCGCAUUUCAUUAUUCUCCGCUCUGCAGAACGCUCUGCUUGGCUUUGUUGAAUCUCCGUGCGCUUCUUUAAUUUAUCUCCCAAACACCACGUUAUACUUUAAUCCUGUCCUUCUAGAUAUUUGCAUAUCCUCCUUGGUUUGAAUGGUGCCUAAAUGCGGGCUGGCUCUUAAAGGCACAGGGAGAUUUGCAUGGCUGCCCAUGCCAAGAGCUGCUAAUGAAGGCACCAAUGAGCAUGGGAGUAUAAACUCACCACCUGUGGAGCCUUGUUUGGCAUCCUCAUUCAGCCUAAUAAAGAAUCAUUCAUGUUUAAUUGCUACAUUUGAUUGUUUAAUUACGGUUAUUUUACAUGCCAUCUUGUUUUGUCUUGGCUUUAGACACUAUCUGCUACCUUACCCUUUCUGAAUAGUGAAUUAUACUACAAGAGAAAAUUAUGUUAGUCAAAGAAUUAGAACUAGGCCUUUAAAUUGCAAUCAGGUUUUUUUUCUCUCUUUUUAAAAAAGCUGUUCAUAAAACCCUUUCUACUUGACGUUGCUGUACAGAUUCAAAUCCAGGGUGGUUUGGUUUUUUUCCCGUGCAGCAAGAAUUAUAGGAGUAACUCUUUCAAAUGCACUUGCAGGGCUAUGAUGUGGGUAGCCUCAUCUUCUCACUGAGGUUUUAUCAAAUUAAGUUUACUUUCUUUAAAUGUCAAUUCAUCUUAACAAGUGCAAGAUUUUUUAUUUUUUUUUGCAGAGGCUUAACUUGGCAUAAAAUUAGUUUAUUGCAGGUUCACUUAGUUCAGCAAUGCUCUGACUUCAGAUCAAUACAAAUCUGUCCUAAAACUUCAGUAAGAUGGUCUGUUUGCAAAUCUGGCUCCUCUUUAACUAAAGGAACGGAAAGGAAGCCAGGACCUGCCCUGUGUUUCUCCAGCUGUGUCAUUUUGUUGCCCAUCCUGUGCUGGUGUUUUCUCUGGGCUGAUGAUGGACCUUCCCUAAGCGAACUGCUUCUUCAUGCACUCUCCAGUCUGGCAAUGAGCUGCCUUUCACUUAUGUUUCAGCAGGGCAAGCUCCCUUUUAAUUAACGUGCUUAAUGACUCCAGAAACAACAGCACACCUCUGGUUCAUUUAUGAUCCUUUCUUGGAUAUUGUUGCAUGGCGAGCUGUCCCUGGCUCCUCUUGGCUUUACGGGCAGCACAAGGCAGCGCUGGCCUGCUCAGAGCCCUCCUGGUUCUGCUCUCGUCCCUUGAUGCAUGUGAGCUCCCUAUCCAGAUUUCUAUGCUCCAGAGCAUGCUGUGCUCCAUCUUGCUGGUAUGUGCAUGUUUUUCCUUUCUGAUCUUCAUCCAUCAAAUUGCCUGGCAUUGGGUCAGUCACCAUUGCUGGGGCACAGGUCUCUUGACAAAUUUGUGUAGAAGCAGCUGAAGAGAUGUCCAGGCCAUUUAAUGUCUACAGGAGAACCACCUAUCCUUUCUGUCCUCUUCUCCUUCAACAUUAUGACCUUCCCAAGUCGUCCUCCCUGCAGCCAACGGAUGUCCUCAGGCACCUCUGAAUUAGCUCCUUCCCAUGAAAAGCAAUGUUCCCAUCGUGACAACAUUUUCUCUGAUUUGCUUGUUCCCUUUCUCUCUGACCAACACAGACCCAGGAGGAGGAGGAGGGCCUCCCUUUCAUUGCCGCCUUCAUUCCUGCAUCGCUAAUGCCUAAAUCUGUCUCCAAGCAGUUUGCUCUGCCCACCCAGAAGAGAGGUAACCUUUGGAUAUUGCUCCUUAACCACGCUGUUUAAUUGGAGAAAACCAGCAACUAGUGUCUAGGAUUUAGAGAAAAAAUAUGGAAAAAGCAUUUAUCAAAUAAUAAAAAGAGGGACUAAAGUCAGGGCAUUGUGCUCCACAUGGGUUCUUGCCUUAGAAAGAAAGAAAGAAGAAAGGUGAGCUGAACUGCUGAAGGACAGUUGAAUGCUAGUUAUUUCCCUGCUUGGAGGCCAUAAGGGAUUUCCCUUUGGAUGCCUCACAGUCUCCUUCCCAGGAAAUUCUCCCCUUGCUUUUACUGCUGUCUUGCCUUUUUCCAUCUUGCCUUUUACAGCUAGGAAACGACCUGCCACCCAAGUGCUUUUUUUAGGGCAAUUUCAACUACUUCUUGUUCACUUAGGAGUUUGGAAAAUAUCGGGCUUAUGUACUAAAAUCAGUUUAAAGCACUUGGCAAGAAUAUGGUACAGGAAUAUGCAAUCAUUAUUCAUCAUUUGACCAGAUAUGAAAAUAAUCCUCACUCGUAACUAGCUUCUGAAAAUGGCCAGUGUAAUUUUUAUACGUGCAAUAACCAAGUAGGAAGCGACUGCUAUUUCUGCAGCAGACAAGGAGCAUCUCACUGAGACAAAGCUACGGCGAAGCAGGCAAUUUUCAGUUCCUUUUCAGCAAGCUUUCUAUAUCCUUUCUUGCCUUUGCGUUUACAGAAAGCCAAUUUUCCGUGUCCCUACUACACACAAAAUGGGGCAAGAUUUUAAAGAUACAGCUCCGCUCUAUUCGACUGCAGCAGACUGAAAGAAAAAUGAACUUCAGUACUCAGCUGAUCCCUUCGCAAUAUUUCAGGGUAAAUUAAAAAUCAAAAUGUCAAGAGGUUCAAUAUGUCAGUGGGCUUUUUGACAGGGCGGCCACUUUGAAGCCUAAAUGAGAACUGCGCUCCUUUUAAAAACUGGAACCAAAUGUGUGCAGCUGCUGCGCCGUUUAGAAAUUCUGGCCCUUCAUCUUUCUUUCUUUUUCCUUCUGCAAUAAAAUUAGUAAAAUA